Molecule: long non-coding RNA, 702 nt
Organism: Mya arenaria
Lineage: Eukaryota; Metazoa; Mollusca; Bivalvia; Myida; Myidae
Exons: 3
Source: RefSeq, a predicted model, not a curated record
UACAUUUUUUCUUUCAUGUACUAUAUAUCAAAGGCAUUAAAUAUCUACGGCUGUGUUGUUUAUCUCAUUAUAUAAUUAUAUACUCAAAAUGAUAUUAUAAUUAAUCCACAUUUUAGAUACAAACAAUGAGUCAGACGCCUGUGAUCACCACCAGUUGUACGUGUAUGGAAAUCGAAAGUUGAAAAACUUUUGAGUUAUCAUUGACAUUCAUAUUUAACAAAACACUGCACGAUGCUUUUAAUAAUAAGCUUGCAGGGAGUCGGGACAAAAAGGCCCAGUACCAGAAAGGCCCGGUCCAGAAAGGCCUACUUUUAAAUCAAAGGAAACACCUGUAUUUUGUUUGAGGGUGUUGUUCUUUGAUAGGAUCUUUGCGGUGGAGGAUUGGUCCGUAUUCAGACAGACCAUUCGCACCAACAACGAUGUCGAAGGGUGGCACAACCGUCUCAACCAAAAGGCCGGAGGGAGUGGACUGGGGUUUUACAGGCUCGUGCCAGUACUUCGACGGGAGGCCGAGCUUGUGCAGAUGGCUGUAGAGUCUGAGGACUUGGAGAGAGGAGGCAACGUCCGUUGUCUGCGUCAAGACAACGCCAUAAGGACGCUUGCAGACGAGUACUUGAAUGGAGACAUUAGGACUUCUAAGUACCUAGGAAGGAUUGGAGACGUGUAUCGUAUACAGAAGUAAUUUGCUGCCACAUCUACAUC